UACGUAGGGCGCAAGCGUUAUCCGGAAUUAUUGGGCGUAAAGAGCUCGUAGGCGGUUUGUCGCGUCUGCCGUGAAAGUCCGGGGCUCAACUCCGGAUCUGCGGUGGAUACGGGCAGACUAGAGGCAGGUAGGGGAGAAUGGAAUUCCCGGUGUAGCGGUGAAAUGCGCAGAUAUCGGGAGGAACACCGGUGGCGAAGGCGGGUCUCUGGGCCGAUACUGACGCUGAGGAGCGAAAGCGUGGGGAGCGAACAGG
Molecule: ribosomal RNA, 253 nt
Filed under: uncultured bacterium
Lineage: Bacteria
Description: partial 16S ribosomal RNA
Rfam family: Bacterial small subunit ribosomal RNA
Source: RNAcentral